This 286-nucleotide ribosomal RNA is filed under the name uncultured bacterium. Its description in RNAcentral is "partial 16S ribosomal RNA". It matches the Rfam family "Bacterial small subunit ribosomal RNA", at positions 1092 to 1378 of the family's 1533-position model. The record is from RNAcentral.
ACGAGCGCACCCUCGCCUUUAGUUGCCAGCAUGUUUGGGUGGGCACUCUAAAGGAACUGCCGGUGACAAGCCGGAGGAAGGUGGGGAUGACGUCAAGUCCUCAUGGCCCUUAUGUCCUGGGCUACACACGUGCUACAAUGGCGGUGACAGUGGGAAGCCAGGCAGCGAUGCCGAGCUGAUCUCAAAAAGCCGUCUCAGUUCGGAUUGCACUCUGCAACUCGAGUGCAUGAAGUUGGAAUCGCUAGUAAUCGCGGAUCAACAUGCCGCGGUGAAUACGUUCCCGGGA